UAACGUCCUGUUCAUCGCCCGCCGCCAUUUCUGUUUCUUGAAAGGCUUCCAAAACCCUAAACCCAUCGGGGAUUGCUCGUCGGUUUAGAUGGGAAUUCCGGCUUUUUACCGGUGGCUGGCCGACCGUUACCCCCUUUCCGUGGUGCAGGUCUGCGAAGAAACUGCCAAAAUGGUCAAUGGGGUCCGGAUCCCAGUAGACACUACCAGGCCGAACCCUAACGGCGUCGAGUUCGACAACCUCUACCUGGAUAUGAACGGCAUCGUCCACCCUUGCUUCCAUCCGGAAGACCGGCCUGCUCCCAAGUCGUAUGAUGAAGUCUACAAAGCUAUUUUUGCUUACAUUGAUCACAUUUUCUCCAUGAUUCGUCCCCGGAAGCUCCUGUACAUGGCAGUUGAUGGAGUGGCACCCAGAGCAAAGAUGAACCAGCAACGGGCGAGGAGGUUUAGGGCUGCUAAAGAUGCUGCAGAUGCGGAAGCAGAAGCAGAGAAGCUGAAGGAUGAGUUUGAAUCGCAUCUUGAGAAAUUUUGUCAUCAACAAACGAGCAAAAUGGAUUCUAAUGUCAUCACGCCUGGAACUUUGUUCAUGGAUUGUUUGUCGUCUGCUCUUCGGUACUAUAUUUGUUUGAGAUUGAACAAGGAUCCUGGAUGGCGGAGUGUUAAGGUCAUUCUUUCUGAUGCUAGUGUGCCGGGUGAGGGUGAACACAAAAUAGCAGCAUAUAUUCGCUCCCAGAGAAAUCUUCCUGGUUUUGAUCCAAACACAAGACAUUGUUUGUAUGGUUUGGAUGCUGACUUGAUAAUGCUUGCUCUAGCAACACACGAGAUACAUUUUUCUAUUUUAAGAGAGGAUGUACGUGUUGCAAAAUUUGAUCAAAGAAAUUCAAAAUCUGUUUACAAAAAGAAGUGUUCAAAUAAAGGAGAAGAAGGAAAAGAGUCCAAUCAUGACAUUGGUUAUGAAGAUUCAAGAAAGAAGUUCCAGUUUCUCAAUAUAUGGAUUUUAAGAGACUAUUUGCAGCACGAAUUGAAAGUAUUUGGUGCAAAUAUGAAGAUUGACUUGGAGCGUUUGAUUGAUGAUUUCGUUUUCAUUUGUUUGUUUGUUGGAAAUGACUUUCUUCCCCAUGUUCCUUCUCUCGAAAUUUCAGAGGGAGCAAUUGAUCUUCUUACGAUGGUCUAUAAAAAGGAAUUUGCUGCAAUGGGUGGCUAUUUAACAAAUUCUUUUGAGGUGAAUCUAGAGCGAGUUGAACACUUUCUUCAAGUUGUUGGAUCUCAUGAAAGUGCCAUCUUUCGAAAGCGGGUCCAGUUACAGAAAGAAAGAAAUAGUCAUUCCAAGGGUCCUAAUUCCAUGGCAAUUGAGCCACAAGUAGAAUGUGCAUGGAUGGAGAGCUUUGAGAGGUCUUCAAAUUCAUUUGGCAGAAAUAUAUCAGAUAGAAUAUCAUGUGCCACUGCAGAACAUUUUCAGGUAGGGCAGGGAGAAGAAGAUUGGAAGGAAAAGUACUACUCAGAGAAGUUUGAAGUCAACUCUAAAGAUGAAUGCCAAAGAGUGAAGCAAAAUACAGUAAAACACUAUGUGGAAGGUAUCUGCUGGGUCAUGCACUAUUAUUAUCAAGAAUUUCAUUUUUCAGGUUUUAUCCACAUCACUAUGCUCCAUUCGCAUCUGAUUUUGUUGGUUUGAAGAACUUAGAGAUCCAGUUUAAAAUUGGUGUUCCGUUCAAGCCAUUUGAUCAGCUCAUGGGUGUACUACCUGCUGCAAGUGCACACGCACUGCCUUCAUCUUACAAGGAUUUGAUGAUCAAUCCGUCUUCUUCAAUAAUUGAUUUUUAUCCAGCAGAUUUUGAGCUUGAUUUGAAUGGCAAGCGUUUCUCUUGGCAGGUUUUUUUACAUUCCACAUCUUUUCGUAAUUAAGUUGAUGUAUUUAUUCCAUAUACAACUGACAUUGUAUUGUUUGCCUUCCAAUUAAAAUUCCAAGUAGCCUUUGAUUCUAUUAUCAACUUGCCGGUUUGUUUUACUUGUUUCAGUCAUAUGCAUGCAACUUUAGUCCCCCCAGUAUCAGUUGAGGUUCGAUCUGUUUUGGCCUGUUCCAUAAAAAUUCCUCUUUUUUUCAGCCAGUAUGGGCCAAGAUAGAUCGGCAUGGGUGGUCAUGUUCAUCCAUGCCAGUACUUCACCUCUCUCAGUUGAUUUGCAGAAUGAGACACAGGCAUACCUAUUGAAAUGACAUGAUAUUUAGAUCUUGAUAUAACUUUAACUAAAUAUUAAUAGUCAUAAUAUAUUGUUAUUAUCAACUGAAAUUGCCCUUUCAUUACUUUUUGUCUUUUCCCAGUUUAAUGCUUGAGCAAUUUUUGUCUUCUAUUUUUUUUUCAUGUUCAGUUUAACCUCUAAAGUCUAAAGGAGAUGUGGAAAUGCUAGUUUCUGAAAAGUAUUUUAAAAGUUGUCAUUUACAGAAUAGUAGGUAGUAAAGGAACAUUCUUCACUACAUCAUUGAGAUGUGAGAUCUGUGGUGCCUUUCUUUUGUCAAAUUUCAGUUUAUUUUUCUCAGGGUGGUAAACAAUAAUUUCUCUUUCCCCUCCCUCUACUCUGUGUCAGUUUAUUGGAGGUAAGGAAUAUAAGAAACAGAGAAAGACACUGAUGGCCAUUGUUAAAGUUUUCUUCACAUAGUCUUAGCAAAUAACUGUUUAUCUAUAUAUAUAUAUAUAUAUAUAUAUAUAUAUAAUAGUUCUAUUGUCCUUUUAGCAAGGAAACGUACAUGUUUGUGGCAAAUAUUAGAGUUAGAAAUAAUUUGCUAUAUGAUUGUUCUAUCUAGACUAAUUAUGCACUCUAAUUCAUUUACUUAUCCAGGCUGUAUGUAAACUACCAUUUGUUGAUGAAUCACGACUUCUUGCAGAAAUAAAAAGAGUUGAAGACACGCUAACGGAGGAGGAAAAGGAAAGAAACAGCUGGACUAUGGAUGUGCUCUUUGUUCAUUUCUCGCAUCCAUUAACAUCAAAGAUCCUAUCCUUUUAUCAGAGGAAGAAGGAUAAUCCAAAACUGGGAAAGGCCAAACUCAAAAAGAGAAUUGAUCCGGAAAUCAGUGAUGGGAUGAACGGACUCAUUUAUAUUUCAGAUAAGACAAUGUUUUCUUUUGAGAUUUAUUCACCUGUCGAGGGCAUGGAAGCAAUAACUCAAAACAAAACCAUGUGAGGAAUUAGAUCCACGUAUUUCAAAGCUCCUUCUAUCCAAACUCAUAUUGCCAGACUACCAGAUGGCAUCACCUUACCCAAUAAGUCCAUCAGCAAAAAACAUAUUCCACCAGUGCCAGGACUGUGGCAUGAGACAUUGAUAUCAAAGAGGCAAGCGCAUCUCAAUAGGCCUAUUCCUCAUGCAAUUGAGGGUCAUCUUCUAUUGAAAUUGGCUCACAAACUCGUAACAAAUUACUACGGCGAAAAGAUGAAGCAAGAUUCGGUAAGACUCGACAAGAAAGCAUUUGAUGAUAAAUGCAACAAGAAGCUCAAGGAGCUAACAACCACUAUCAGCAUUCUUGGGAAGAGAAAAUGCAGGGGCCAAGAACAUAACCAAAACACCAACAAAAGGAGGCAUCACAAAACUAAGGGAACAAAUAGACGCAAACGUAGAAGGAACUAGUUUGAUUUUGUUGUACAUUUGUUAUUGAACCUAUAAAUUAUCUGCUCCAUCACAAAACUAAGGUUACAUUCUUUAUUCUUGCCAUCAGGAAACGAUGUCGAGCAAUUUCAUUACUUUGCUCUUUUUUGUUGCACUGAAAUUAACUUUAAAUGCAUCACUUAAAUUUGAUCA
This is an RNA transcript of Zingiber officinale, 3783 nucleotides long. It is a transcript of the gene named thaumatin-like protein 1, with no coding region annotated. Lineage: Eukaryota; Viridiplantae; Streptophyta; Magnoliopsida; Zingiberales; Zingiberaceae. The transcript has 22 exons. The record is from RefSeq and is a predicted model, not a curated record.